GACAGAGGGUGCAAGCGUUGUUCGGAAUCAUUGGGCGUAAAGCGCGCGUAGGCGGCUGUGCAAGUCGGAUGUGAAAGCCCAGGGCUCAACCUUGGAAGUGCAUCCGAAACUGCAUAGCUUGAGUUCCGGAGAGGGUGGUGGAAUUCCCAGUGUAGAGGUGAAAUUCGUAGAUAUUGGGAGGAACACCAGUGGCGAAGGCGACCACCUGGACGGUGACUGACGCUGAGGCGCGAAAGCGUGGGUAGCAAACAGG
This 253-nucleotide unclassified non-coding RNA is filed under the name uncultured Myxococcales bacterium. Its description in RNAcentral is "contains 16S-23S intergenic spacer region". It matches the Rfam family "Bacterial small subunit ribosomal RNA", at positions 524 to 776 of the family's 1533-position model. The record is from RNAcentral. Lineage: Bacteria; Pseudomonadati; Myxococcota; Myxococcia; Myxococcales.